AAAUCAGAAUAACAGGUGGGACCGAAACAUCCUUCCCCUUGUGAAUCUGUGAGAGAGUGAAAGCUGAGAACCAAUACUUUGGAAGCUCUUUUAUGCAGAGUCGGAACCCUGACCUUCUGUGAUGAAGAAGACCGUGUAAGUUCCAGGUAGAAUGACUGCUGUUACCCGUUGCAGGGGCACCACUCACGUCACCGUCUAGGACGGACAGAGCGGGAGGAGACGGCUGAAGAGGCAGAAGAAGGGGUCUCCCCGAUGCUGAUGGGACCGGAAUGGGACUCGGGGGGAUGGAUAGUGAUUCCUUCCUCGUGUGGUUUUGAGGCCAUGAGAUUCCCUCAGCGGCCUGGCCUGAAGAGUCGGGAGAGGGCAGCCUGGUUAACUGCAGAUACGAGGUGGCAUCCUAACCCAAGAUUCAGGUUCGGAUGAUCAGUCUUUAGCUGGAUAGAACCCGUGGAAGUGACACAUGCCAACAGACGGAGGAAACUCGAUUCUUUUAAUAACUCUCAUGUUUGCAUCGCAUGUUAGAAGUAUGAAAUAUUUUCAUCGCUAUAGUUGAGUCUCACAAAAAAUCGAUGGAAAAGGCAGAGCAGGUAUUACCUCACCUUAGAGGGGAAAAAACUGAGCCUCAGAAAGGUGAAGCUCCUUCCUCUUAUAGCCACACACACGACAAAUGGCAGAGCCAAGGUCCAAAUCCAGGUCUGUCUAAAGUCUCAUGAGGAGUUCUCUCUACCGUAGAGAAGUGUUUUUAUUUUGUGUUCGUUUCUGUUCUUAAUUGAAAGGAAGGGAGUAGGUCAUAUCAUGGAGUUCUGGGGGAUCUAAAGUACCCGAGCCUGGGAGAUUCAUCCCUCAGUCACUUUGUAGAUGUCAGCUGAGGGCCAAUCAAGAAGGGCCUUGAAUGCCAAGCUGAGGAGCUGGGACUUUAUCCCAAGGGCACUAGGGGGCCAUGGAGGGUUUGGGCAGAGGAGAAACAGGGUCAGCCCUGAGAGCUAGACAGAUCUCUCUAAAGCUGAAAUGGAAGAUGGAUGGGAGGGCAUAGGAAUGGAUACCGAAUGACCCGGGGCCUGGAUAACGGUCUAGAACCACCACAUCUAUCCAAUACGGUAGCCGUGAGCCCCGUGUGGCUAUUGAGCUCUUGAAAUGUGGAUGGUCUGCAAUGAGAUGUGCUGAAAGUAUGAAAUACCCACCAGAUUGAAGACUUAGCCCAAAAUAAAACUACGUAAAGCAAUUCAUGAAUGACUUUUUCAUAACGAUUACAUGUGGAAAUGAAAAUAUUUUGGAUAUAUUAGAUUAAGCAAAAUGUACGAUGAAACAAUUUUAUCUGUU
Molecule: long non-coding RNA, 1320 nt
Filed under: Equus caballus (horse)
Lineage: Eukaryota; Metazoa; Chordata; Mammalia; Perissodactyla; Equidae
Description: lncRNA (ENSECAG00000054777.1)
Source: RNAcentral